CCCUUGUGUGAUGGACCUGGUUUACUUCAUAUCAUCUGGAAACAAUUCAAUCUGGUCUUGGCCAAGAAGCCAUCCAUGAAGAUAAACACUGAGACCUGAGCCAUAUAAUCAACCAAUACUUCAUCGUGAUGUACCGGGAAUGCAUCUUUCUGAUUAGCUCUGCUCGCGUCUUGAUAGUCUAUUCACACCUUCUCUCUUUCUCAUCCUUUGUCGGCUUCAGCUUUUGCUCUCUAACCUCGGCGGAGCUUGGAGUAACAAUCUUGAAUCGCUCCUCGUGCGGUUGAAUCACCUUCUCCUCUUGUUUCAAUGACCUGGCUAAUUC
RNAcentral lists this long non-coding RNA (322 nucleotides) under Lathyrus oleraceus (garden pea). RNAcentral describes it as "Pisum sativum (pea) long non-coding RNA (PSAT_LNC041409)". The record is from RNAcentral. Lineage: Eukaryota; Viridiplantae; Streptophyta; Magnoliopsida; Fabales; Fabaceae.